UCAAGAAGGUAUUAAAAGUUCUUGAAAACCAGGAGCUAAUUAUUGCUGUAAAUAAACAACCCCAUAGUAAUUUGGCAGUUAAGCAAUUAGACACUAUAGCAGAAUACAAAGAUUUUGUCAAAUAUUUAGAUGAUGAUUCAGUUCGCCUUGAUUUGGUUAAACAACUGAGUUUUUUAGGCCCAGAAGAUUAUAAACAGCUGACAAGAUUGGUUAUGAAUAGAUUAUUUACAAAUACCCUAUUGGCACAGCUUAUUUAAAAGGUUCUGGUGGAAAAAUUGGUUUAUUACCAACGAAGCUAUAUGAUGUAAUAGAAGAAGUUGUAACAAGAAGGUUUGGAAAAGUUUCAAAUUCUGAUAUAAGACAGCAAAUCGGAAGAUAUUGUAAAAAUGCUCCAUCGCGGAAAAAUAGAAUCUAAAAUUUAUUUUUUAUUGUAUAUAUUAUAUGUUAUAUACAUUGUUAUAUAGAAAGAUACUUUAUUAAAAUC
This is a non-coding RNA of Hydra vulgaris (swiftwater hydra), 484 nucleotides long. The record is from RefSeq and is a predicted model, not a curated record. Lineage: Eukaryota; Metazoa; Cnidaria; Hydrozoa; Anthoathecata; Hydridae.